RNAcentral lists this ribosomal RNA (91 nucleotides) under Prolemur simus (greater bamboo lemur). The record is from RNAcentral. Lineage: Eukaryota; Metazoa; Chordata; Mammalia; Primates; Lemuridae.
GGCUACAGCCAUACCACACUGAAUGUGCCUGAUCUCGUCUGAUCUUGGACGCUAAGCAGGGUCAGACCUGGUUACUACUUGGACACAGACA